Molecule: ribosomal RNA, 294 nt
Filed under: uncultured bacterium
Lineage: Bacteria
Description: partial 16S ribosomal RNA
Rfam family: Bacterial small subunit ribosomal RNA
Source: RNAcentral
GGAUUAGAUACCCUGGUAGUCCACGCCCUAAACGAUGUCAACUAGACGUUGGGCUCAUUGAGGAGCUUAGUGUCGAAGCUAACGCGUUAAGUUGACCGCCUGGGGAGUACGGCCGCAAGGUUGAAACUCAAAGGAAUUGACGGGGGCCCGCACAAGCGGUGGAGCAUGUGGUUUAAUUCGAUGCAACGCGAAGAACCUUACCAGCCCUUGACAUCCUGGGAAUCUCUAAGAGAUUAGAGAGUGCCUUCGGGAAUCCAGUGACAGGUGCUGCAUGGCUGUCGUCAGCUCGUGUCG